This 424-nucleotide ribosomal RNA is filed under the name uncultured prokaryote. Its description in RNAcentral is "bacterial SSU rRNA". It matches the Rfam family "Bacterial small subunit ribosomal RNA", at positions 355 to 796 of the family's 1533-position model. The record is from RNAcentral.
UGGGGAAUUUUCCGCAAUGUGCGAAAGCCUGACGGAGCAACGCCGCGUGAGGGAGGAAGGCUUUUGGGUUGUAAACCUCUUUUCUCAAGGAAGAUAGUGACGGUACUUGCGGAAUCAGCAUCGGCAAACUCCGUGCCAGCAGCCGCCGUAAUACGGAGGAUGCAAGAGUUAUCCGGAAUAAUUGGGCGUAAAGCGUUCGUAGGUGGUUUUGUAAGUCUGCUGAUAAAGCGUGUAGCUCAACUACAUAUAGGCAGUGGAAACUACAAGACUUGAGUGCGUUCGGGGCAGAGGGAAUUCCUAGUGUAGCGGUGAAAUGCGUAGAGAUUAGGAAGAACACCGGUGGCGAAAGCGCUCUGCUAGGCCGCAACUGACACUGAGGGACGAAAGCUAGGGGAGCGAAUGGGAUUAGAUACCCCGGUAGUCC